Molecule: long non-coding RNA, 1499 nt
Filed under: Piliocolobus tephrosceles (Ugandan red Colobus)
Lineage: Eukaryota; Metazoa; Chordata; Mammalia; Primates; Cercopithecidae
Description: lncRNA (ENSPTEG00000012180.1)
Source: RNAcentral
AAUAAAUAGAUAUAUCUAUAAUAACUGUAACAAAUUAGUCAACUUUUCUACAAAAUAUAUAUUUUUAGUUUUGCUAAAAAAAAAAAAAAACGUUCCAAAUAAACAUAUAUUACAAAUCAAUAUAUAGCUUUCUUUUUCAUCACAUAGUAAAAAAUAAAAAAAACAAAAUUUUUCUUUUUUUUUUAUUACUAGCUGCAAACAUAAAAUCCUUUGUAAAUAAUUUAUAUAUGUGUUAAUAUUACUAAAAUAUAAAUUGAAAGAGCUUUAUAUUGCUGACUAAAAAAAGAAAAAAAAUUAUAUCUAUCUAUCUAUCUAUCUAUCUAUUUAUACAUACAUAUGCACGCGUACCAUGGCACAUGUAUCUAAACGAUAUGAAGAAAAUGCUGAGAAUGUUGACGUAGACAAGAAUCGAAAGAAUAUUAAUUACCGCAACCGAAAUGCAAGUAGUAGUUCUUAUUACAAUAAAAAACAAUUUGGCGAUAAAUUAAUAAAAACUAAAAAUGCGAUAACAUCGACAAUCGUGUCAAAGAACAAUGAUCAGAAGGAUGGUAAAGUUAAUAGUGUAGAGGUUGUUGAAGGUAAUGUUAGUAUAUCAUCACACACUGAGUUAAUAAAAGGGUUAACAUUUAGUGAAAAUAAAAACAAAAUAACUGAAUCAAAAGAAAAAGAAAAAGAAAAAGAAAAAAACAUGUUAAAACAAAAAAAACAAGAAAUCAAAGAAUUAGCAAACCUAUGUAUAGAACAAAAAUUAUCUGUAAAUAAUGAAAAUAUUCAAAUAGUACGUAAAUUAAAAGAAAAGCGUAUGUUAGAAGAACGAAUUAAUAAAAAUGAAGAUAUAAAAAAUUUACAGGAUAAAAGAAGAAUAUUAGAAGAAAUAGAAUAUCAUGAAUGGGCUGAUAGAGAAAAAAGAAUAAAAGAGUUGCAAGAAAAAAAAAUGAAGUUAUUAAAAAGAGUGAUGCUACAACGAGAUGCAGAAAAAGCAGAUAAGGUAUUUUAUGAAGUAGAUAAAAUAAUGCAAGAAAGAGAUAAAAAUAAAGAUAAGAUAAUAGAAAAUUUUGAAAAAGAAAAAGCUAAAGAUAUCAAAAAUUUAUUUAUAGAAAGAAAAAAUCUUUUAAAAACUAUUUAUAAUGAAAAAAAUGAUAUAGUUGAUGAUAUUAAUGAUUACACUUCUAAUUAUAAUUUAAAAUUAGAACGAAAUGGAAUUAUACCAAAUAAAAUGGAUUAUAAAAAUGAAAAUAAAAUUGAUAAUAUAUUAAACGAUACGCAUCACAAAUUAAAUGAUUUGAAUAUUACACCAGAUGACAUAUCCCAAAUGAAUGAAACAUGGUUUCUAUCAAAAGAAAAUAAAAAAAAACAAGAUGUAGCUGCAGAAGUUGAAAAAAAACAAAAUAAACAACUUAUUGAUACUAUGUACCGAUUUUUAAAUAAAGGACAAAAAGAACCCAAAUCUGAUGAAUAUUUAGAAACAGAUUUUGAUAGCAAAAGUGAAACAAAAAAAA